Molecule: small nuclear RNA, 108 nt
Organism: Otolemur garnettii (small-eared galago)
Lineage: Eukaryota; Metazoa; Chordata; Mammalia; Primates; Galagidae
Source: Ensembl
GUGCUAGCUUUGGCAGCACAUAUACUAAAAUUAAAAUGAUACAGAGAAGAUUAGCAUGGCCCCUGCGCAAAAGAUGCCAUGCAAAUUCAUGAAGCGUUCCAUAUUUUU